This 983-nucleotide ribosomal RNA is filed under the name Entoloma tectonicola. RNAcentral describes it as "eukaryotic LSU rRNA". It matches the Rfam family "Eukaryotic large subunit ribosomal RNA", at positions 32 to 987 of the family's 3401-position model. The record is from RNAcentral. Lineage: Eukaryota; Fungi; Basidiomycota; Agaricomycetes; Agaricales; Entolomataceae.
ACUUAAGCAUAUCAAUAGCGGAGGAAAAGAAACUAACAAGGAUUCCCUUAGUAACUGCGAGUGAAGUGGGAAAAGCUCAAAUUUAAAAUCUGGCAGUCUUUUCUUUGGCUGUCCGAGUUGUAAUCUAGAGAAGCAUUAUCUGUGCUGGGCCAUAUACAAGUCUCCUGGAAUGGAGCAUCAUAGAGGGUGAGAAUCCCGUCUUUGAUAUGGACUUCCAGGGCUAUGUGAUGUGCUCUCAAAGAGUCGAGUUGUUUGGGAAUGCAGCUCUAAAUGGGUGGUAAAUUCCAUCUAAAGCUAAAUAUUGGCAAGAGACCGAUAGUGAACAAGUACCGUGAGGGAAAGAUGAAAAGAACUUUGAAAAGAGAGUUAAACAGUACGUGAAAUUGUUGAAAGGGAAACGCUUGAAGUCAGUCACAUUGGCAAGAAAUCAACCUUGCAUUUUCUGCUUGGUGCAUUUUCUGGUUAAUGGGUCAGCAUCAAUUUUGACCAAUAUAAAAAGGUCAGGGGAAUGUGGCAUCCUUUGUGAUGUGUUAUAGCCUUUGGUUGCAUAUAUUGGUUGAGAUUGAGGAACUCAGCAUGCYGCAAGGCCAGAUUAAUUAAUUUUAAUCAUGUUCAUGCUUAGGAUGUUGGCAAUAAUGGCUUUAAUCGACCCGUCUUGAAACACGGACCAAGGAGUCUAACAUACCUGCAAGUGUUUGGGUGGAAAACCCAAGUGCAUAAUGAAAGUGAAAGUUGGGAUCUCUGUCAUCGAGAGCACCAAUGCCCAGACCAGACCUUCUGUGACGGAUCUGAGGUUGAGCAAGUAUGUUGGGACCCGAAAGAUGGUGAACUAUGCCUGAAUAAGGUGAAGCCAGAGGAAACUCUGGUGGAAGCUUGUAGCGAUUCUGACGUGCAAAUCGAUCGUCAAAUUUGGGUAUAGGGGCGAAAGACUAAUCGAACCAUCUAGUAGCUGGUUCCUGCCGAAGUUUCCCCUUCAGCUCCUG